GACCUCAAAUCAAGUAGGAUUACCCGCUGAACUUAAGCAUAUCAAUAAGCGGAGGAAAAGAAACUNAACAAGGAUUCCCCUAGUAACUGCGAGUGAAGCGGGAAAAGCUCAMAUUUAAAAUCUGAUGGUCUCUGGCUGUCCGAGUUGUAAUCUAGAGAAGUGCUUUCCGCGCUGGACCGUGUACAAAGUCUCCUGGA
Molecule: ribosomal RNA, 197 nt
Filed under: uncultured Hygrophorus
Lineage: Eukaryota; Fungi; Basidiomycota; Agaricomycetes; Agaricales; Hygrophoraceae
Description: partial 28S ribsomal RNA
Rfam family: Eukaryotic large subunit ribosomal RNA
Source: RNAcentral